GUGCCAGCCGCCGCGGUAAAACGUAGGAGGCGAGCGUUAUCCGGAUUUACUGGGUGUAAAGCGCGUGCAGGCGGUUAGCUAAGUUGGGUGUGAAAGCUCCUGGCUCAACUGGGAGAGGUCGCUCAAGACUGGCUGACUCGAGGGUGACAAGGGAAGGUGGAAUUCCGGGUGUAGUGGUGAAAUGCGUAGAUAUCCGGAGGAACACCAGUGGCGAAGGCGGCCUUCUGGGUCAUCACUGACGCUCAGACGCGAAAGCUAGGGUAGCAAACGGGAUUAGAUACCCCCGUAGUCC
RNAcentral lists this ribosomal RNA (292 nucleotides) under uncultured bacterium. Its description in RNAcentral is "partial 16S ribosomal RNA". It matches the Rfam family "Bacterial small subunit ribosomal RNA", at positions 505 to 796 of the family's 1533-position model. The record is from RNAcentral.